Molecule: transfer RNA, 68 nt
Filed under: Prevotella denticola
Lineage: Bacteria; Pseudomonadati; Bacteroidota; Bacteroidia; Bacteroidales; Prevotellaceae
Also listed under: 8 other names
Rfam family: tRNA (bases 5-65)
About the family: Transfer RNA (tRNA) molecules are approximately 80 nucleotides in length.
Source: RNAcentral
GGAUGUAGUUCAGUUGGUUAGAGCGUCAGAUUGUGGUUCUGAAUGUCGUGGGUUCGAGUCCCACCCUC